UGGGCACUCUGCGGAGACUGCCGGUGAUAAACCGGAGGAAGGUGGGGAUGACGUCAAGUCAGCAUGGCCUUUAUGUCUGGGGCUACACACGUGCUACAAUGGCCGGUACAAACCGUCGCGAUCUCGCARGAGGGAGCUAAUCSGARAAAGCCGGUCUCAGUUCGGAUUGCAGGCUGCAACUCGCCUGCAUGAAGUUGGAAUCGCUAGUAAUCGCGGAUCAGCACGCCGCGGUGAAUACGUUCCCGGGCCU
Molecule: ribosomal RNA, 250 nt
Filed under: uncultured bacterium
Lineage: Bacteria
Description: partial 16S ribosomal RNA
Rfam family: Bacterial small subunit ribosomal RNA
Source: RNAcentral